Molecule: non-coding RNA, 2288 nt
Organism: Anas platyrhynchos (mallard)
Lineage: Eukaryota; Metazoa; Chordata; Aves; Anseriformes; Anatidae
Source: RefSeq, a predicted model, not a curated record
CAGUACAUUAAUUUUGAAGCUGCUUUUUGAAAACAAAGUUUGACCUCAGAAAGGAGCCUUCACGGCUCAUCAUGAAGAGGAUGAGAAAGCCAGCCAGAAGGAUGACAGAGGGAAGGAACCACGGUACUUCUGCAGCAAUUGAAGAUUUUGGGGCUGUAGCUGAGGAGCAUGCCUGAUCCUGAGUGGACACUUGUGCUGUUUGAAGAAGUGAGGAUCUUGUUACCUGAAACAGAUGGUGGAAGAGAAGAGGAGUCCUGCAGGACACUUUCUCUGAGGAAAGCAAUUGCCUUUAGUGACAGUUGAGCAAAUGUCAAUUUUUGAUUCAUAAGACACUUCUAUAUUUCAGGAAAAAUAUCUUAUUUGGAGCAACUACAACUUAGACUUUCCCACUUUCCCACAGAAUGAUAACAGCUGAAACUUAUGCUCAGAAUUCCUAAAUCAGCCUCAGAUUUUUAAAAUUCCACUUAAAAUCUUCACAGAUACUUUUGUUUCUAUAUUCUUCAAAAUAUCUUCAUAUAGGAAAAGAAAAUAAAAGAAAGCAAGUGAAAACUUCUCACUCAUGGUAGGAACUAAAAAACAACAACAAAUGCUUCUCUGAUAGGUAACAAAGUCAGAAAUAUCCAUAAUUUCAUGCUGAAUAUGGAAAAUAUGCUUGAAUUAACAUGAUCCCUACUCUCUACUACAAAGCUUGUGGACAUUCUUAGCAAUUUUUUUUAUUAUUUUUUUUGUCCACUUUUAAAUAUUUCAGAAGGAACUAAAGUCAGAAUGUUUAAAAUUAAUUUGAAACUUUUUUUACAAAAACUUUCUGAUCCUGGGAUAUAGCAUAUAUUUUACUGUUAGAAAAUUGUUAUGCUUUUCUAAAAAUGAGGCCAAAAUAUAAAUUGACUCGAUAUAUCCUGAUGUAGAAAUUCAUCUAAAAUGGCUUAAGUUUAUUUCAGUGUGUACAGCUCAGUGUGUCGAUCCAGGUCUUAUUUAUUUUGUAACCUCUGCUUACAAGCUCAAGUGUUUGCAGUGAUCUCUGCAUGCUUUGAACAAGGACUCUGGCACAAAUCUCCCACUACUAAAAUUAAUUCACUGAUGUAAAUCCCGACUAAGUCAUUUUGGCUUAAAGAGACACUUGAGAAAGUGGGGACAGAAGGUAACCUAAAGUGUGAUUUGCCACUGAGGUGUUUUGAUAAUGAGCAUUGUCUCCUCUGCAAUGCCCAGAUGUCUGAAAACCCAGUUUCUGAAAAAUACACCCUGUGCUUCCUCUGCAACAUGGCAUGCAGUGCAAUCUCUCUGUCCAUAGGAAACAUCUUGUUUUUAUAUUUUGUUAUAAGCUUCUUAUUAUCUUAUUACAUUAAUAUAUCACAAAAUUACUACAUUCAUAUUAAUAUAUUACUAUAAUGCAUAAAAUAAUUAAUGCAUUUGUUAUUGCUGAUAUAUAAAAUUAUCAUUAUAAUAUUUGAUCGUGUUCCACCGAGGGAAGAGAUUUGUUAACAAUAUCAGGAGAAGUAGAAUCACACAGUUGCAAUGGUGGAGGGAAAUAACAAGAACGAAAAAUCAUAAAUGUUCUUGAUUCUUACACAAAUCAUAAAUGUUCUUGAUUCUUACACAAGGCAAGGUUUUAAACCAUUUUAAGCAGAAGUGAUGACCAACAUCAGUUUGUAAGAAUAAAGUCCAGGUGUCUCUAAAUGUCAUCUUCUUACUGACUUCAGAAAGGAAAGAAACCCCAAGAAGCUAGAAGAGCUUCAAAAUAGGCAUAAAAUUAACUCCUCUGUUGGAACAAGGACUAGCCAUUUAUCAACAGAAACCAAGCCCUGAGUGUAGACAGUCUCCAUAUAGAUUAGAUAAAGGCUCAACUGAUAAAACCAAGAGAAUUUAAGGAAGAAAAGAUGGACAAAGACCAGAGAGCUCCUGAAACAAACGAUUAUCAGGCAUUUGUUCUAUUAGCAAUAUAGGGUGAGAUCUUUACCUGCUGUAAUUACCAUAGAAGCAAUGCAACUAAUUGUGCUGCAUGGCGGCAGUAGCUGUAGUCCAUGUAAAUUUACUCAAUCUUAUAUUCACAUUCUAAGUGUAAUGCAUUUUUUCCAUGCCUUAGUUGCUGUGCAAAGGCAACAAAUGAUCUUCAUGAAGUACUUUCUUCCCAGGCAAUCCAGUAAAUUAACACUUAAUGGACAUCUGUUUUUUAUAACAAAUAUUUCUAAGCAUUAUAACUUCUCUGAUUCAGCUUCACCUUAGACGGUUUAUUUUUAUGAUAACAAAGAGGAAAGAAAUGAAUUAUACUGAACUUUUCACCAUUCACUGGU